UUAAAUUGAAGAGUUUGAUCAUGGCUCAGAUUGAACGCUGGCGGCAGGCCUAACACAUGCAAGUCGAACGGUAACAGGAAUCAGCUUGCUGAUUCGCUGACGAGUGGCGGACGGGUGAGUAAUGUCUGGGAAACUGCCUGAUGGAGGGGGAUAACUACUGGAAAC
This 165-nucleotide ribosomal RNA is filed under the name Escherichia coli. RNAcentral's name for it is "partial 16S ribosomal RNA". It matches the Rfam family "Bacterial small subunit ribosomal RNA", at positions 1 to 157 of the family's 1533-position model. Lineage: Bacteria; Pseudomonadati; Pseudomonadota; Gammaproteobacteria; Enterobacterales; Enterobacteriaceae. The record is from RNAcentral.